GAGAGAUAUUGUUUGGAAAUGGGACAAAGAUUGACAUCAAAGGAGCCGACAAUCAGACGGCCGUAAUAGCUCUGUCUCUGUUAUCAGCUGCUUUGGCUAUAAGCUUGAUUAUUAUAGCUUUCCUGAUUCAUAUCAUCAAGACUAAAUCGUGUGAGUCCAGCAAAGCUGCUGAAGUUCUGCAAACACAUCCUGCAGCAGAUCGACGACGCCAGCAGAGCGCUGAGGACUCGUUGGUUUAUUCUGCACCGACUUUUUCUAAGAUUAGAACGGACAAAAGAGAGAAGAGAAAAGUUAAAGCAGCAACAGAAGAGACGAUCUACACCGGGGUCAGAACUCCUCCGACUGGCUAAAUAAAAGAUAUGCUUAAAACAUUAAAUAAUUGAUUUGUAUAUUUUUAAAGACUGUGAGAAAUGUAAAACCUUGCAGCAAUGUGACAAUAAGAAGAGAAUAUCCUUUGUAAUUUUGAACUGUGUAUGAUUUGACAUGUUUUGACUCAUCUGUGUUCAGUCAUUGUUAGAUUGGUUUUAUCACCAAAGGUAGAGUAUUAGCACCAUAAACAAUAUAUGCAGUCGUGCACUAAACUAAA
Molecule: non-coding RNA, 586 nt
Organism: Labrus bergylta (ballan wrasse)
Lineage: Eukaryota; Metazoa; Chordata; Actinopteri; Labriformes; Labridae
Source: RefSeq, a predicted model, not a curated record